GGGCGGGUCCGCCGAGGUGGUGGCGUGGGGCAUCGACAAGUGGUGGCGCGCGCACUCCUCGCCGCCGGAGGUGCCCAGGUACGCCGACAAGGCGCCCAGGAGGGUCGCCGCCGCCGCCGCUAGGGUCAACCCCCGCCCCAUCCAGCAGCCGCGCUGAGCGUCCGUCUCCGCCGCCGCCCGCGUAAUCAUCCAUCCAUCCACCCAUCUUGACAAACAAGCAGAAAAAAAUUAGGGAAAAAAAGGUUUUGUUUUGUUAUUUUCGAUCUACUCCUAGCUUUUUUGCUAAUCUCGUCGCGUCGUCAUCGUCGUCAAGAUCUGGGUUUUGGUCAGG
RNAcentral lists this unclassified non-coding RNA (331 nucleotides) under Hevea brasiliensis (rubber tree). Lineage: Eukaryota; Viridiplantae; Streptophyta; Magnoliopsida; Malpighiales; Euphorbiaceae. The record is from RNAcentral.